Molecule: ribosomal RNA, 464 nt
Filed under: uncultured bacterium
Lineage: Bacteria
Description: partial 16S ribosomal RNA
Rfam family: Bacterial small subunit ribosomal RNA
Source: RNAcentral
ACGAACGCUGGCGGCGUGCUUAACACAUGCAAGUCGAACGGAAAGGCCCUGCUUGCAGGGUACUCGAGUGGCGAACGGGUGAGUAACACGUGGGUGAUCUGCCCUGCACUUCGGGAUAGGCCUGGGAAACUGGGUCUAAUACCGGAUAGGAGCCAUUUUUAGUGUGAUGGUUGGAAAGUUUUUUCGGUGUAGGAUGAGCUCGCGGCCUAUCAGCUUGUUGGUGGGGUAAUGGCCUACCAAGGCGGCGACGGGUAGCCGGCCUGAGAGGGUGGACGGCCACAUUGGGACUGAGAUACGGCCCAGACUCCUACGGGAGGCAGCAGUGGGGAAUAUUGCACAAUGGGCGCAAGCCUGAUGCAGCGACGCCGCGUGGGGGAUGACGGCCUUCGGGUUGUAAACUCCUUUCGCUAGGGACGAAGCUUUUUGUGACGGUACCUAGAUAAGAAGCACCGGCUAACUACGUG